AAAGCAGCGGCCGGCGGCGCGGGUUCCGCCCCCCGCGCUUCGCGGGCGCGCCGGCCCGGCGCGGCUGUUAUGGAAACGGGCCGGCCGCGCAGGCGGCGAUGAUGGGGCGGCCAUGGCCCGGGCGGGCAGCUCCGGCGGCGACGCGGCCGCGGGGGAGCGGGCCGGGGACGCGGGGCGGCCCGAGCCGUGGGAGCUGUCCCUGGAGGAGGUGCUGACGGCGUAUGAGCAGCCCAUCAACGAGGAGCAAGCCUGGGCCGUGUGCUUCCAGUGCUGCCGCGGGCUGCGGGGCGCGCCCGGCGGCCGGCGGCGCAUCCGGGACACCGCGGACAUCCUGCUGCGCAGGGACGGCUCGGUCAGCGCGCGGCGGGAGCCCGGCGCGGCGGAGCCCACAACCAUGGUGUCACCGGCCAGCUCGGAAGCCCAGGUGGUGCAGUCACUGGGCUUCGCCAUCUACCGUGCGCUGGACUGGGGGCUGGACGAGCACGAGGAGCGGGAGCUCAGCCCACAGCUGGAGCGGCUCAUCGACCUCAUGGCCAACAGCGACUGUGACGACAGUGGCGGCGGGGCGGCCGACGAGGGCUAUGGGGGCCCGGAGGAGGAGGAGGAGGCCGAGGGUGGCCCCCGCGCCGUGCGCACCUUCGCACAGGCCAUGCGCCUGUGCGCUGCACGCCUGACGGAGCCCCGGGGCGCCCAGGCCCACUACCAGGCCGUGUGCCGCGCGCUCUUCGUGGAGACGCUGGAGCUGCGGGCCUUCCUUGCCAGCGUCCGCGAGGCCAAGGAGAUGCUGCAGAAGCUUCGGGAAGAUGAGCCACAGUCAGAGAAGCCUCUGGUGGAGCUCGACAGCCUAGGGCGCACGGACUGGGCCCGGCUCUGGGUCCAGCUCAUGCGAGAGCUGCGCCACGGCGUCAAGCUGAAGAAGGUGCAGGAGCAGGAGUUCAACCCCCUCCCCACGGAGUUCCAGCUCACACCCUUUGAGAUGCUGAUGCAGGACAUCCGCGCCAGGAACUACAAGCUGCGCAAGGUCAUGGUCGAUGGGGACAUCCCUCCCCGGGUGAAGAAGGACGCCCACGAGCUCAUCCUGGACUUCAUCCGCUCCAGGCCGCCGCUGAAGCAGGUCUCCGAGAGAAGGCUGCGCCCCUUACCCCAGAAGCAGAGGACUCUGCACGAGAAGAUCCUGGAGGAGAUCAAGCAGGAACGCAGGCUGCGCCCCGUGGAGGGCAGGCACCGGGACGGCCGGGGCUUCGGCUCUCUGCCCUGCAUCCUCAACGCCUGCUCUGGGGAUGUCAAGUCCACCUCGUGCAUCAACCUCUCCGUCACGGACGCCGGGAGCAGCGCCCAGCGCCCGCGGCCCCGGGUUCUGCUCAAGGCGCCCACGUUGGCCGAGAUGGAGGAGAUGACCACGUCUGAGGAGGAAGAGUCUCCGUGUGGGGAGGUGACCCUGAAGCGAGACCGCUCUUUCUCCGAGCACGACCUGGUCCAGCUCCGGGGUGAAGUGACUUCUGGCCUGCAGCCAGCGACUCAGCACCCAGCAGGCUUGGAGCUGUCUCGGCCCCGCGCAGGCAGCAUGCACUCCUGGAGGCCAGGCGGCCAGGAGCCGGGUUCCUUCCCUGUCAGCGCCCAGACCCAGCCUGACCCCACCUCCCCGCCACGCAGUGACCUGAGCUCGGCCGAGGACAGGCCCAGCGCCUCCGCAGCCCCAGACACCACCCACCUGUGGCUGGUCACCGCGAAUCGGAACCACAGACACUGUCCAGCGCCCACUGGCCUCUGGUUCCCCGUGCCACCUCGUCUCGGGAGCCAACGUCAAUUCUGGACGCCGGGCAUCACGUCGUUGGUGGAGCUGAAACACCCUGCUUUCUGGAAGAGGGACUGGUGCUGUGAGAGGCCGAGCUCUAUGCCAGGAACACAGACCUGCUCCCUUGGGGGCAGAACAGGGUCCAUUCUCCAUGCCAGCCCAAGGGCCAGGAGGGUAUUUCGAGGUGGACAGAUGCAGACCACAGGCUGGAGUCCUGAGCUACCGUGGUCGGUUGGCACUGGGAGCGCGGCAGGGAGCCGGCAGUGGGCCUAGGGCUCUGGUUGGUUCUGACUGGCCUGGCGUGUUUGCAGGAGUUCAGCCACCCCGCCGAGAGCCUGGCCCUGACGGUGGAGGAGGUGAUGGACGUGCGCCGAGUGCUGGUGAAGGCCGAGAUGGAGCAGUUCGUGCCCAACAGGGAGCUCCUGAGCAGCCUGCGGAAGGGGAAGGUGUGCUGCUGCUGCCGAACCAAGUUCCCGCUGUUCUCCUGGCCGCCGACCUGUCUCUUUUGCAAGAGAGCUGUCUGCAGUUCCUGCAGCAUAAAGAUGAAGAUGCCUUCUAAGAAGUUCGCACACAUCCCCGUCUACACCCUGGGCUUUGAGAGCCCACAGAGGGCGUCAGCUGUCAGAGCCCCCCCACCCCUGCGAAGAGACGCCUUCCAGUCCCUGCAGGGGCCGCAGUGGCGGAGCGUGGAGGAGGAGUUCCCGCACAUCUACGCCCACGGCUGCGUCCUGAAGGAGGUCUGCAGAGACUGCACCAGCUUCGUGGCGGACGUGGUGCGCUCCAGCCGCAAGAGUGUGGACGCGCUCAACACGCCCCGCCGCGCCCGCCAGACCCAGUCCCUCUACAUCCCGAACACCUGGACGCUCGACCUCAAGUGAGGGUCUCCGGCCCCCGGGCCACCUGGCCAGAUGCUUCUCACGGUGCCCCCAGGUGGCCGUGCCGCCGGGGAGGGGCUGGGCUGGUCCUGGACCAGGCUGAGAAGUGCCUUUCCCGGGAAGACCCGCCGGGGCGCCCUGCGGAGCGAGCAUGUACAUAUAUACAUAGAUUCAUCCGCGGGACUCUUGCACUCACAGCCUCUAUAUUUAUACUCAUGAUUCCUGGCCCGAGUUCAUUGGGGUCAGGCUCACUGCAGGACCCUCCCUGGGGGAGGACGUUUCCUCUCAGGAUUCCUUGGGUGGGGCGGGAGCGGGGCGGGGCAGGUGGGGUACUGCCGCGGCUCAGGGAAGGCCUCUUCUCCCUCGGAUGAGAGCGGGGCAGUGUCCCGUCCCGGGUGAUGCUCGGCUGGGGUGGCUCCUUGGUCCCCUGUGCUUAGCAGGCCAGGGGCUGCAGAGGCACUGGGAAGCCGCGGAGGGGCCGAGAUGCUCCUGUUGGGCGUGUCACCCUCCGACUGGCAGGUCGACAGCCAAGCUCGCGUGCUGCCCCUGCCUGGCAUCCACAGCCUGGCCAUCUGCCCCAUAGCUGGUGUCGCCGGCCUCACGGAGGUGGCGGAAGGUGCUGGCCUGAGAGCCCUGCCAAUGCUCUGUGGUCCCAGUAGGGGAAGCCACUCUGUAAACUGUACAAACGGCCACUCGUGGCCUAAUAAAGGCGGUCUCAUGGUCUCCUGA
Non-coding RNA from Sus scrofa (pig), 3399 nucleotides. The record is from RefSeq and is a predicted model, not a curated record. NCBI's taxonomy places the organism in Eukaryota, Metazoa, Chordata, Mammalia, Artiodactyla, Suidae.